UACGGGGGGAGCAAGCGUUGUUCGGAUUUACUGGGCGUAAAGCGUGCGUAGACGGCUAUCUAAGUCGGGUGUGAAAGCCCCGGGCUCAACCUGGGAAUUGCAUUCGAGACUGAAUAGCUAGGGUACGGUAGAGGGAAGCGGAAUUUCCGGUGUAGCGGUGAAAUGCGUAGAUAUCGGAAGGAACAUCAGUGGCGAAAGCGGCUUCCUGGACCAGUACCGACGUUCAGGCACGAAAGCGUGGGGAGCAAACAGG
This 253-nucleotide ribosomal RNA is filed under the name uncultured bacterium. Its description in RNAcentral is "partial 16S ribosomal RNA". It matches the Rfam family "Bacterial small subunit ribosomal RNA", at positions 524 to 776 of the family's 1533-position model. The record is from RNAcentral.